Anneissia japonica is the source of this 684-nucleotide long non-coding RNA. RefSeq lists it as uncharacterized. The transcript has 3 exons. Lineage: Eukaryota; Metazoa; Echinodermata; Crinoidea; Comatulida; Comatulidae. The record is from RefSeq and is a predicted model, not a curated record.
CAAUUUAUAUAUCACAUCGCAGUCUGUUUCACAUAAUAUUGAAUGCUAACAUAGCUCAAAAUGUUGGGAUUAAUAGAAUACUGUUUGGCGGGGUAUCUUGAAGGCACUAAAGAAGAACAGAAUUGUACAUGUCUAUUAAAAAAUACAUCUGUAAGUUUAAAUUGAAACAACAUUGAAGAGAUGGUAGAAUCAUCAUAUGUAUGUCAUGACCCUGUUGAUUUUUACAUAUUUUAGUGUAUAUCCUAUUUUCUGAAACAUUUUAAAUGACUUUGACCACACAUGUGUAUAUCUAACCAAGUAAAUUUUAUAUGAUCAAUUGGUAUGUUCUUAAAUUAAUACUGUAUAAAGUAAAUGUAAAGUUAAAAUAUAAUUCCUACUUCUUUCUCAUAUUUAUUGUAAAAUAUACAAUAUACAGAAAGUAUACAUUAGUAAUUCACUCAGCCACACAAACCUUUUAAUGUAGCUAGUUCAUUGACAUAAUUUAGUGAAAGGAAUAUUAACUAUUAUUAUUUUUUAACGAUAAUUAUAGUAUUAAAAACUGAUUUAAAUACAAUUAAUGCUACCUAACACUCAGUCCUCUCCUGUUGCAGAUUCAGCAAGAUGGAACAGACUUUCAGGUUGUCUCAACAAGUAUGCAAAAAACAAUAUCUGAUAUGUUGGCUUUGAAUGAAACUACUGAAACUG